UGAGUAACCUGCCCUUAACUCUGGGAUAAGCCUGGGAAACUGGGUCUAUACCGGAUAUGACUCCUCAUCGCAUGGUGGGGGGUGGAAAGCUUUUUGUGGUUUUGGAUGGACUCGCGGCCUAUCAGCUUGUUGGUGAGGUAAUGGCUCACCAAGGCGACGACGGGUAGCCGGCCUGAGAGGGUGACCGGCCACACUGGGACUGAGACACGGCCCAGACUCCUACGGGAGGCAG
RNAcentral lists this ribosomal RNA (232 nucleotides) under uncultured bacterium. RNAcentral describes it as "partial 16S ribosomal RNA". It matches the Rfam family "Bacterial small subunit ribosomal RNA", at positions 118 to 351 of the family's 1533-position model. The record is from RNAcentral.